AGGUCACUGACUUUUACCUUGUUAUCUUAUAAUUCUGUAACUCAGAGGCAGAAAAUCCAUAUUGAUUUUUUUCUUCUUUAAUGACAGGGUGUAAUUCUGUUGCCCAGGCUGGAGAGCAGUGGUGCGAUCACAGCUUGCUAUACCCUUAUCCUCCUGGGCUCCAACGAUCCUCCCACCUCAGCCUCUUAGGUAGCUGUGACUACAGGUGUACUCUUCAGUUGUAACCCAAAUUUUUAAGUGUUCACAGGCAGAUCUGCUGUUAGAGAAGAAUUCUUCUGCCCUAACUGUGUCUCUGUGAUCUGUGGAUGAGGGUGGGAAAGGACCGCUCAAUGAAUUGGGGUGUACAAAAUGGAGUUUGAGAAGGUAGCUGUUAAUAUGCAUGAUCUCCUGCUGUGAGCUCCUUAAAGGAGGAACUUCCGUGGUCAUCCCAGUCAUGUGCUGUAAGGGCAAUGACAGCAAUGGUAUAAGGAAGAGUCCGGAAGCCACCAUGCCCAGAACCAUCAGCCUCAAGCAAAUCAUCUUCCCUUGUCCUCUUGCUCUCAUCUUACCCUUCCAGACAAAAUCCAUGAAUUAUUGAUCAAAUUUGGGUCUCUGUGUGCUGUUCUCCAAUUUAAUACCUUCUCUGUUGCUGUUUUGUUUUCUUUCUUCUGGAACAUGGCAGAGUGCUUCAAGCGAUGAGACUUCCUCUUUGAAGAUCACAGGUGAGAAGAUUAGAUGCUUUCUCGGAAGCCCAGAAACCUGAUGGGAUUGUGGAGUGAGCCAGACCCAAAUCAGAACUUCAUCCCUGCAUGGUUUAUUUUGCUUGUUUGGCAAACUUGCCCCACAGGUCAGGCUCAUAAAAUCUUUCUACGAACAAUUCCCAACUUUCCAACAGAGGCUAAAGAAAAUGGAGAAAGUCCAAUAACCAAGGAUUGCAUCUGACCCACUGUAGUAUGCAAUAAACUUUAACAAUUAUUGAAAAAGCAGAGAUUUUAUAAGAUUCUUCAGUUAAACAAAGUAACUAUACUUGUUGUGAAGAUCAAAUUCAGAGAGAUCUAGACUAUGGCAAAGAGUAUUACUCACCUUUACUAUUAAAUCGGACAGUAUGUUAGGUCUUUCAACAUGACCAUCUUUGAAUUUAACCUAAAUAUCUCCAUUUUCUGCUAACUGCUACCGCAAGGCAGUGUCCAGUCAUUUUUGUGUAGUGCUCCUCCCACUCCCACUCACGCACCCUGUUUAGUUCAGAUUCUGAUGUCUUUGGAUCAAUUAAUGUGAAAGGAAGGUGUCAGAAGUGGGAUGGGGCAAAGGAAGUGCAACUGUGAUGCACCAAAAUGGCAGGGUGCUCUGGAGUGAGUACUGAAAUACAGAGCCGGGGUCCCAUUUUGGGCCCAAAUGGCUGAGUUUUUGUCCUCUGCAGCACUGAAAAUCAGGUCUUGAUAUUCCUGCCUUGCUCAGUCACCACAGUGGGCACUCACACAUGGGUGUGAUCUUAGCCAGAUCUCUACAGUUGAAGAUGGCCAUUUGGGAACCAACUGGGGGAGCUAUCUGCUGACUGACCAUACUCUUGGUGACUAGGCAGUGACUUCUACCAAAUUCUAGUUAAUCUUACAUUUCCUCUCACACACUAGUUUUUCUUCCAUUGUUUUCUAAUAUACUGUUUUUCUCCUCCAUGAAAAUGUUUAGUAUGACUCCUAACAGUUCUCUAUUAUUUUUUUUUAUUAAAAGAAAUUGGCAGUGCUCAAUGUCUGUGCAGAGAAGAAGAGGCAGCUUGAGACAAAUAACUUUUGAUCACCAAAUAAUUACGUAAAGGGCUGUUGGUUUCUUUUAGUUAUCAAAUUUUAUUGGUAUACCUAAUGUAUUUGACACUCGAAGUAAAUCAUUUUCAAAUAUCUUCCCUCUAUUCUAGAAAAUUAUUUUAGUAAAUUUCAUAAAAUGAAAUGAG
This is a non-coding RNA of Chlorocebus sabaeus (green monkey), 1921 nucleotides long. The record is from RefSeq and is a predicted model, not a curated record. NCBI's taxonomy places the organism in Eukaryota, Metazoa, Chordata, Mammalia, Primates, Cercopithecidae.